CAGCCGCCGCGGGAACACGUAGGGUGCAAGCGUUAAUCGGAAUUACUGGGCGUAAAGCGUGCGCAGGCGGUUAUAUAAGACAGAUGUGAAAUCCCCGGGCUCAACCUGGGAACUGCAUUUGUGACUGUAUAGCUAGAGUACGGCAGAGGGGGAUGGAAUUCCGCGUGUAGCAGUGAAAUGCGUAGAUAUGCGGAGGAACACCGAUGGCGAAGGCAAUCCCCUGGGCCUGUACUGACGCUCAUGCACGAAAGCGUGGGGAGCAAACAGGAUUAGAUACCCCAGUAGUCCCUGUCUCUUAUAA
This 301-nucleotide ribosomal RNA is filed under the name uncultured bacterium. RNAcentral's name for it is "partial 16S ribosomal RNA". It matches the Rfam family "Bacterial small subunit ribosomal RNA", at positions 509 to 809 of the family's 1533-position model. The record is from RNAcentral.